AUUGAACGCUGGCGGCAUGCUUUACACAUGCAAGUCGAACGGUAACAGGGUGCUUGCACCGCUGACGAGUGGCGAACGGGUGAGUAAUGCGUCGGAACGUGCCGAGUAGUGGGGGAUAACGCAGCGAAAGUUGUGCUAAUACCGCAUACGUACUGAGGUAGAAAGUGGGGGACCUUCGGGCCUCACGCUAUUCGAGCGGCCGACGUCUGAUUAGCUAGUAGGUGAGGUAAAGGCUCACCUAGGCGACGAUCAGUAGCGGGUCUGAGAGGAUGAGCCGCCACACUGGGACUGAGACACGGCCCAGACUCCUACGGGAGGCAGCAGUGGGGAAUUUUGGACAAUGGGCGAAAGCCUGAUCCAGCCAUGCCGCAUGUCUGAAGAAGGCCUUCGGGUUGUAAAGGACUUUUGUCGGGGAGGAAAUCCCCAGCGCUAAUACCGCUGGGGGAUGACAGUACCUGAAGAAUAAGCACCGGCUAACUACGUGCCAGCCGCCGCCGUAA
This 500-nucleotide ribosomal RNA is filed under the name uncultured bacterium. RNAcentral describes it as "partial 16S ribosomal RNA". It matches the Rfam family "Bacterial small subunit ribosomal RNA", at positions 30 to 523 of the family's 1533-position model. The record is from RNAcentral.